CAAGACCUUGCGCUUUUGGAGCGGCCGAUGUCUGAUUAGCUAGUUGGUGGGGUAAUGGCUUACCAAGGCUUCGAUCAGUAGCUGGUCUGAGAGGACGACCAGCCACACUGGGACUGAGACACGGCCCAGACUCCUACGGGAGGCAGCAGUGGGGAAUUUUGGACAAUGGGGGAAACCCUGAUCCAGCCAUGCCGCGUGAGUGAAGAAGGCCUUCGGGUUGUAAAGCUCUUUCAGCCGGAACGAAAUGGUCAUGGUUAACACCCGUGACAAAUGACGGUACCGGAAGAAGAAGCACCGGCUAACUACGUGCCAGCAGCCGCGGUAAUACGUAGGGUGCAAGCGUUAAUCGGAAUUACUGGGCGUAAAGCGUGCGCAGGCGGUUUUGUAAGUCAGAUGUGAAAUCCCCGGGCUUAACCUGGGAACUGCGUUUGAAACUACAAGG
RNAcentral lists this ribosomal RNA (442 nucleotides) under uncultured Nitrosospira sp. RNAcentral describes it as "bacterial SSU rRNA". It matches the Rfam family "Bacterial small subunit ribosomal RNA", at positions 207 to 640 of the family's 1533-position model. Lineage: Bacteria; Pseudomonadati; Pseudomonadota; Betaproteobacteria; Nitrosomonadales; Nitrosomonadaceae. The record is from RNAcentral.